This 378-nucleotide unclassified non-coding RNA is filed under the name plant metagenome. RNAcentral describes it as "partial contains 5.8S ribosomal RNA, internal transcribed spacer 2, and large subunit ribosomal RNA". The stretch from base 1 to 105 matches the Rfam family "5.8S ribosomal RNA", at positions 50 to 154 of the family's 154-position model. The record is from RNAcentral.
GAAAUGCGAUAAGUAAUGUGAAUUGCAGAAUUCAGUGAAUCAUCGAAUCUUUGAACGCACCUUGCGCUCCUUGGUAUUCCUUGGAGCAUGCCUGUUUGAGUAUCAUGAAAUCUUCAAAGUAAAUCUUUUGUUAACUCAAUUGGUUUCUACUUUGGUAUUGGAGGUCUUUGCAGCUUCACACCUGCUCCUCUUUGUUCAUUAGCUGGAUCUCAGUGUUAUGCUUGGUUCCACUCGGCGUGAUAAGUUAUCUAUCGCUGAGGACACUGUAAAAGGUGGCCAAGGUAAAUGCAGAUGAACCGCUUCUAAUAGUCCAUUGACUUGGACAAUACUUUUAUGAUCUGAUCUCAAAUCAGGUAGGACUCCCCGCUGAACUUAAGC